Molecule: long non-coding RNA, 2331 nt
Organism: Bombus terrestris (buff-tailed bumblebee)
Lineage: Eukaryota; Metazoa; Arthropoda; Insecta; Hymenoptera; Apidae
Exons: 5
Source: RefSeq, a predicted model, not a curated record
UCGCAAUCAUAUAUCGUCUUUGGCACUUUUCGCAAAUGUUCCUUGCAACAAUAUGCCAUCGUUUGGCAUUAAAAAUGUUAAUUGCGAAUGCAGUAGAAGAUAGUAAAAACGAAGAAUGAAGAUAUUCGAGCAAAACGCAAUACACUUAGCUUGAAAAGCAGUAAUAUCUUGAAAAAUAACGAGGGAGACGUUCUCGUCUGUCAAAUGCAAGAAAAAUUAUCGACGAAGUAGAACCAUUAAAAUUGACGACGCCUAUGUUUUGUUACUAACAAUCCUGAAAUUGCUAAAGUCAAUCAUCAUUCUCAUAAUUGAAUUUUCUAGCAGCUGUUUAUAUUCUUGUACAAUGUAGCGGCGUAUCCACUGUAUCCGUUUACUCUCAUUUCGAUUGUUUUUCUAAUUUUUCUUUAUUUUUAUCUAGCAUUUUGCAUUCGAUGUGUCUUAGGCACCUAAGAUCCUGAACUCGAAAUCUACACUGGCUUUUGUUGAGAUAAAUGUCAUGUUGGUAUGAUCGCUAGUUCCUACAUCCAGUGUUAGAACAACUGCUUUGCGAUUCUCUUCUGUUUUUCCCCAUCCGUCACGUCUUUUUUAUCUGAGUUUUCGCUGUGUGUAAAUGGCUGUACAAGGUGUUGAAGUACACAGGAUACACAGGUGUGAAGUACACAGUACAAUGAAGUACACAGGAUACAACAGGAUAAUCUGUAUGAAUCAAUUGAAUUUCAAAACCCAAACCAAUGUAAUAACAGCUUUAAACAGCAUCUGAAAAACGAUAAGGUCCAAGAAAACAACUUGCGAUUAAAAGAGUCGUAUAUCGAAAAAUUCAAGGGUUUAUUAUAAAUUAAUAUAUAAAGAUUACUCUGAACAUUUUUCAAUGAUUUUCUAUGCAAUAAUAUAAUAAUUCUAUGUAAUAACUUUCUCUGUUUUCGUUUUCAUUAUUUCGAUUCUUUUUUAUUUCCACAGUUCAAUAAUCUCGCUGUUCAUUUGAUUCGCAUUUAUUUUGCGAAAGACGAUAUAAAUAUUUUCUCCCACGUACUUAACAAAGGAAGGUUAUAGAUAUGCACUUAAUUUAAAGAAAUGGUGAAAAAUUAUGAGAUUUAGUCUAAGUGCAUCCUUUACUGGCUUUACUGAACUACGCAAUUAUCGUGUACACCAAUAAAUGGCAUCAAAUGCACAUGUUAUACAUUAUUUGACAUACUCUAUUGUGAAUUAUCCUUCGAAGGCUUUGCUAUAUUGUUUUAUCAAAAGAAUUUAGAGUGACUUGUGUGCAACUAUCUACCCUAUUCUAUAAAUUAUUUCAAGAAAUACCAUGAACCAUACAGGUCUUCGUUAAGGCCUUAACAGAGAAAACUAUUACUCUUGAAGACGAAGCUUCUGACACGAUAGAGAAUGUUAAAGCAAGGAACUUUUAAAACCCUGUGCAUUAAGUUUAGAGACAAAUCAUUGAGAAAGUGUUCAGAGUAGUUUACUUCCAAUCACCUUGACUUGAAAUCUGAACAAACUGCUACCUACUUCUUCAAAUUUAUAUUUUACACAAAAUGAACAUAAUGAGGAAAUUAAUUUUGAAUAUCAAAGAUGAAACAAAGGAGAAACAAUGGUUUGUAAAUGAAGAUGAAGAUGAAGCAAUGCUAACUUGUUCAAAAAGUAGAAAGAAUGUAAGCGAACUACCUAUGCAGAGUGUUACAGUCCAUUCAGCCACAAGAUUUAAAUAUUCAACACAAAGAAGAUGUUGAUGCUAUUCUUGAAUAUGUGCCUCAAUUUAGUCUAUUGCGCCAACAAAAUGUUCUUCCAAAUAUGAAGGAUGAAAAUGUAUUUAGGGAAAAUACACCAUCACCACCACGUUACAGGACACCUCCAAGAGGAAUGAUUUUAAAUUCAGAAGAAGCAAAAGUGUUUAUUUUACUAAAACAUUACGGAUUAGGUCAAUACCUAAAUUCCUCGUUCAAGAAGUUGACAUUGAUUUGUUUAUGACUUUAACUAAUGAAAUGAACUAAUGAACUAAUUGAGAUUGGUAUAAAAAAUGAAGCUGACAGAAAAGCUAUGUAAAUUGUGAUAAAUAGUUCAUAAAAAAUCGGUGGUACAAAAAGAAUUUUUUAUCUUUUAUUAAUUAUAUCUAACUAUGUAUUAUUAUUUUAUUUGUUAUAUACUAAAGCUGCUCUAAUGUAUGAAUGUAAAAAUAUAAUAUGUUAUGUUAUAGCAUAUUGGUAUUAUUUUUUAUACUAACUUAGUACAGUUAAGAACACAUAUGAUACAUUUACAUACGAAAUGGCUGUAAAAUUGUUGUAUUCUUGAUGAGCGAUAAUAAUUUAUUAAUAAAUACACUUUUUUGCUUUAGAA